This 1510-nucleotide ribosomal RNA is filed under the name uncultured bacterium. RNAcentral's name for it is "bacterial SSU rRNA". It matches the Rfam family "Bacterial small subunit ribosomal RNA". The record is from RNAcentral.
AGAGUUUGAUCAUGGCUCAGAACGAACGUUGGCGGCGUGGAUUAGGCAUGCAAGUCGAACGAACCUCCGGGGCAACUCGGAGGUGAGUGGCGAAAGGGGCAGUAAGGCAUGGGUAACGUACCCCCUGGUCUGGGAUAGCCUCGGGAAACUGAGGGUAAUACCAGGUAAUGUGGAGGCGUCGCAUGGCGCUAUCACCAGAGGUCAGCCGCCGGGGGAGCGGCCCAUGUAGUAUUAGCUUGUUGGCGGGGUAACGGCCCACCAAGGCAAAGAUGCUUAGCGGGUGUGAGAGCACGACCCGCGCCACUGGCACUGAGACACUGGCCAGACUCCUACGGGAGGCUGCAGUCGAGGAUCUUCGGCAAUGGGCGCAAGCCUGACCGAGCGACGCCGCGUGUGCGAUGAAGGCCUUCGGGUUGUAAAGCACUUUGGCGGGGGAGGAAAGCCCGAAAGGGUCUGACCUAUCCCGAGAACAAGCACGGGCUAAGUUCGUGCCAGCAGCCGCGGUAAGACGAACCGUGCGAACGUUGUUCGGAAUCACUGGGCUUAAAGGGCGCGUAGGCGGACGACCAAGUCGGGGGUGAAAUCUUUCGGCUCAACCGGAAAAUAGCCUUCGAUACUGGCCGUCUGGAGGGAGGUAGGGGCGUGUGGAACUUCCGGUGGAGCGGUGAAAUGCGUUGAUAUCGGGAGGAACUCCGGUGGCGAAAGCGACACGCUGGAUCUCAUCUGACGCUGAGGCGCGAAAGCCAGGGGAGCGAACGGGAUUAGAUACCCCGGUAGUCCUGGCCCUAAACGGUGGGUACUGGGUAGUGGACUUGACAUGGGUUCACUGCCGAAGCGAAAGUGGUAAGUACCCCGCCUGGGGAGUAUGGUCGCAAGGCUGAAACUCAAAGGAAUUGACGGGGGCUCACACAAGCGGUGGAGCAUGUGGCUUAAUUCGAGGCUACGCGAAGAACCUUAUCCUGGGCUUGACAUGUGCUAAAGCGGUGGGAAGUAGCUGCCGGAAACGGCCAGCCAACGGUAUCCAGUCCGGAACCUACUACAGGUGCUGCAUGGUUGUCGUCAGCUCGUGUCGUGAGAUGUUGGGUUAAGUCCCGUAACGAGCGAAACCCUUGUCUUCAGUUGCCAGCGCGUUAUGGCGGGGACUCUGGAGAGACUGCCGGUGUUAAACCGGAGGAAGGUGGGGAUGACGUCAAGUCCUCAUGGCCUUUAUGCCCAGGGCUGCACACGUGCUACAAUGGCGUGAACAAAGGGACGCGAACUCGCGAGAGGGAGCCAAUCCCAAAAAACACGCCCCAGUUCAGAUCGAAGGCUGCAACUCGCCUUCGUGAAGCCGGAAUCGCUAGUAAUCGCGGGUCAGCAACACCGCGGUGAAUGUGUUCCUGAGCCUUGUACACACCGCCCGUCAAGCCACGAAAAUCCGGGGCAUCCGAAGUCGCCGUGCCAACCGCAAGGGGGCAAGCGCCGACGAUGAACCGGGUAAUUGGGACUAAGUCGUAACAAGGUAACCGUA